ACUCCGAAACUGCAUUCGAUACUGCCGUGCUUGAGGACUGGAGAGGAGACUGGAAUUUACGGUGUAGCGGUGAAAUGCGUAGAUAUCGUAAGGAAGACCAGUGGCGAAGGCGGGUCUCUGGACAGUUCCUGACGCUGAGGCACGAAGGCCAGGGGAGCAAACGGGAUUAGAUACCCCGGUAGUCCUGGCAGUAAACGGUGCACGUUUGGUGUGGGAGGAUUCGACCCCUUCUGCGCCGGAGCUAACGCGUUAAACGUGCCGCCUGGGGAGUACGGUCGCAAGAUUAAAACUCAAAGAAAUUGACGGGGGCCCGCACAAGCGGUGGAGUAUGUGGCUCAAUUCGAUGCAACGCGAAGAACCUUACCAGGCCUUGACAUGCAUCUCUAAGCUGGUGAAAGCCAGUGAGUCCCGAAAGGGACAAUUUGCACAGGUGCUG
RNAcentral lists this ribosomal RNA (436 nucleotides) under uncultured bacterium. RNAcentral describes it as "bacterial SSU rRNA". It matches the Rfam family "Bacterial small subunit ribosomal RNA", at positions 612 to 1043 of the family's 1533-position model. The record is from RNAcentral.